Molecule: long non-coding RNA, 275 nt
Filed under: Physcomitrium patens
Lineage: Eukaryota; Viridiplantae; Streptophyta; Bryopsida; Funariales; Funariaceae
Description: long non-coding RNA (PPAT_LNC001392)
Source: RNAcentral
AUUUAUAUUUAUAUUUUAUAUUUUUAAAUUUAAUUAUAAAAGAAACAAAAGAAAAUCCUAAAAAUAUCCUAAAGAAAUCCAAACCAAAUCCUAAACCAAACCAAACCUUAAUCCUAAUCAAAUCCAAAUCCUAAUCAAAUCCUUAUCAAAUCCUAAAUAAGCCUUAAUUAAAUCCUAGUCAAAUCUUAGUCAAAUCCUAAUCCUAAUCAAAUCUUAAAUCAAUCCAAAAUCCUAAUCAUAAUUCUAAAUCUAAUCCGAAACCAAACCUUAAUCAA